Molecule: ribosomal RNA, 253 nt
Filed under: uncultured bacterium
Lineage: Bacteria
Description: partial 16S ribosomal RNA
Rfam family: Bacterial small subunit ribosomal RNA
Source: RNAcentral
UACGAAGGGGGCUAGCGUUGCUCGGAAUUACUGGGCGUAAAGGGCGCGUAGGCGGAUAUCUAAGUCGGGGGUGAAAGCCCGGGGCUCAACCUCGGAACUGCCUUCGAUACUGGAUAUCUUGAGUUCGGGAGAGGUGAGUGGAAUGCCGAGUGUAGAGGUGAAAUUCGUAGAUAUUCGGCGGAACACCAGUGGCGAAGGCGACUCACUGGCCCGAUACUGACGCUGAGGCGCGAAAGCGUGGGGAGCAAACAGG